This 407-nucleotide ribosomal RNA is filed under the name uncultured bacterium. RNAcentral's name for it is "partial 16S ribosomal RNA". It matches the Rfam family "Bacterial small subunit ribosomal RNA", at positions 30 to 526 of the family's 1533-position model. The record is from RNAcentral.
AUUGAACGCUGGCGGCAGGCCUAACACAUGCAAGUCGAGCGGAGCGGCGGACGGGUGAGUAAUGCCUAGGAAUCUGACUGGUAGUGGGGGAUAACGUCAGGAAACGGGCGCUAAUACCGCAUACUAUCAGAUGAGCCUAGGUCUGAUUAGCUAGUUGGUGGGGUAAAGGCCUACCAAGGCGACGAUCCGUAACUGGUCGGAGAGGCGGAUCAGUAACACGGGAAUUGAGACACGGGCCACAUUCUUACGGGAGGCAGAAGUGGGGAAUAUUGGACAAGGGGGGAAAGCCUGAUCAAGCAAUGCGGCGUGUGUGAAGAAGGUCUUCGGAUGGUAAAGCACUUUAAGUUGGGAGGCGUUACCAACAGAAUAAGCACCGGCUAACUACGUGCCAGCCGCCGCGGUAAUUC